AAUAUAAUGACUUUUUAAUAUAACUUGAACUGUUCUGUACCCAAAGUUGGAUUUACUCAUGUAGUUUGUUCAAUCAGAACCAACAUAUUUUAUAAUUAAGCCUCACACCUGCACAGUCUCUAUAUUAAAGUAUUAAUAAGUCUAUCUUAAGCUUUCACAGAAUCAUUUAGGAUGGAAAAAACCUUGAAGAGUAUCCAGUCCAACCUCUGACUGACUGAUCACCACCCUAUCAACUAAACCAUAGAACUAAGUGCCAUGUCCAGUCAUUUCUUGAACACCUCCAUAGACAAAAGCUGGCAGGGAGUUGCUGAUCAUGCUCACGGGCAGACUGGGUAUCAUUUAGAAGGUGUGUGAACACCGUGCAAAUCCUGAUGCAGAUUGGCCUCACUGAUUUUUGCUGUUGACAAAGUGAGAGAAGAUGCAUGUCAUAAGAGACCUGAGCUGCUCUGAGGAAGUUGAAAUGCAUUUGAGGAUGUUGUCAUAGAAAUGAAAAAAGAAAACAUCUGAAUCUCAGAUAUUGGGUAACUUCCAGAUAACAAUGUGCAAUUCUGACCUCAUUAAUAUUUGGAAUUUUUGUCAAGUAUGCAUGCCAUAUGCCUACAUCUCCAGCAUCCCACUUCAAUGGAAACAAAAAACCCAUCAAAUUACCACUG
This is a long non-coding RNA of Neopelma chrysocephalum (saffron-crested tyrant-manakin), 653 nucleotides long. RefSeq lists it as uncharacterized. NCBI's taxonomy places the organism in Eukaryota, Metazoa, Chordata, Aves, Passeriformes, Pipridae. The transcript has 3 exons. The record is from RefSeq and is a predicted model, not a curated record.